This 460-nucleotide ribosomal RNA is filed under the name uncultured bacterium. Its description in RNAcentral is "partial 16S ribosomal RNA". It matches the Rfam family "Bacterial small subunit ribosomal RNA", at positions 338 to 795 of the family's 1533-position model. The record is from RNAcentral.
CCUACGGGGGGCAGCAGUGAGGAAUAUUGGUCAAUGGACGAGAGUCUGAACCAGCCAAGUAGCGUGAAGGAUGACUGCCCUAUGGGUUGUAAACUUCUUUUAUAUGGGAAUAAAAUGUUCCACGUGUGGGAUUUUGUAUGUACCAUAUGAAUAAGGAUCGGCUAACUCCGUGCCAGCAGCCGCGGUAAUACGGAGGAUCCGAGCGUUAUCCGGAUUUAUUGGGUUUAAAGGGAGCGUAGGUGGAUUGUUAAGUCAGUUGUGAAAGUUUGCGGCUCAACCGUAAAAUUGCAGUUGAAACUGGCAGUCUUGAGUACAGUAGAGGUGGGUGGAAUUCGUGGUGUAGCGGUGAAAGGCUUAGAUAUCACGAAGAACUCCGAUUGCGAAGGCAGCUCACUGGACUGCAACUGACACUGAGGCUCGAAAGUGUGGGUAUCAAACAGGAUUAGAUACCCGUGUAGCC